Molecule: ribosomal RNA, 377 nt
Filed under: uncultured bacterium
Lineage: Bacteria
Description: bacterial SSU rRNA
Rfam family: Bacterial small subunit ribosomal RNA
Source: RNAcentral
AUACGUAGGUGGCAAGCGUUAUCCGGAUUUAUUGGGCGUAAAGCGAGUGCAGGCGGUUUUAUAAGUCUGAUGUGAAAGCCCUCGGCUCAACCGAGGAACUGCAUCAGAAACUGUGAGACUUGAGUGCAGAAGAGGAGAGUGGAACUCCAUGUGUAGCGGUGGAAUGCGUAGAUAUAUGGAAGAACACCAGUGGCGAAGGCGGCUCUCUGGUCUGUAACUGACGCUGAGGCUCGAAAGCAUGGGUAGCGAACAGGAUUAGAUACCCUGGUAGUCCAUGCCGUAAACGAUGAGUGCUAAGUGUUGGGGGGUUUCCGCCCCUCAGUGCUGCAGCUAACGCAUUAAGCACUCCGCCUGGGGAGUACGACCGCAAGGUUGAA